Molecule: ribosomal RNA, 465 nt
Filed under: uncultured bacterium
Lineage: Bacteria
Description: partial 16S ribosomal RNA
Rfam family: Bacterial small subunit ribosomal RNA
Source: RNAcentral
CCUACGGGUGGCAGCAGUGGGGAAUAUUGCGCAAUGGGCGAAAGCCUGACGCAGCGACGCCGCGUGAGGGAUGAAGGUCUUCGGAUCGUAAACCUCUGUCAGCAGGGAAGAACGGUCACUGUGCUAAUCAGCAGUGAAUUGACGGUACCUGCAAAGGAAGCACCGGCUAACUCCGUGCCAGCAGCCGCGGUAAUACGGAGGGGGCGAGCGUUAAUCGGAAUUACUGGGCGUAAAGCGCUCGUAGGCGGUAUAUCAAGUCAAGGGUGAAAUCCCCGCGCUCAACGUGGGAACUGCCUUUGAAACUGGCAAACUGGAGUGUGUGAGAGGAUAGUGGAAUUCCAGGUGUAGGAGUGAAAGCCGUAGAUAUCUGGAGGAACAUCAGUGGCGAAGGCGACUAUCUGGCACAUAACUGACGCUGAGGAGCGAAAGCGUGGGUAGCAAACAGGAUUAGAUACCCUAGUAGUC